RNAcentral lists this microRNA precursor (66 nucleotides) under Danaus plexippus plexippus. RNAcentral's name for it is "mir-2 microRNA precursor family". It matches the Rfam family "mir-2 microRNA precursor family". Rfam says of the family: The miRNAs are transcribed as ~70nt precursors (modelled here) and subsequently processed by the Dicer enzyme to give a ~22nt product. In this case the mature sequence comes from the 3' arm of the precursor. Lineage: Eukaryota; Metazoa; Arthropoda; Insecta; Lepidoptera; Nymphalidae. The record is from Rfam by way of RNAcentral.
UAACCCGUCAAAGCGGAUGUGAAAUGUCCUACGUCCUUCAUAUCACAGCCACUUUGAUGUGGUCGG